This 258-nucleotide unclassified non-coding RNA is filed under the name Hevea brasiliensis (rubber tree). Lineage: Eukaryota; Viridiplantae; Streptophyta; Magnoliopsida; Malpighiales; Euphorbiaceae. The record is from RNAcentral.
CUUGGAAGAAUAUUUGAAUUUCUUCAUGGUUCAACUGUGGAGAUACCCAUUAUUACUCCAACAAACUGCCAACAGAUCAUUACAGUUCUACUUCAGAGCAUGAAGGAUGCUCCAAAUGUUGCUGAAAAAGCAUGUGGUGCUCUUUAUUUUCUUGCCCAAGGGUAUGGGGAUGUGGCUGCAUCAUCUCCCUUGACCCCUUUUUUCCAGGAAAUGGUGCAAUCGCUUCUCACAGCAACCCACAGAGAAGAUGCUGGUGAG